CCCGGUUCCCAGGCGGGUGCUGCUGCUGCAGCUGCUGCUGCUGCGAGGCCGAAGACGAGCCGGCGGUCAGGCCGUCCAGCACCUUCCUGAUGUUGAAUUUCCUCAUGGUCUCGGCGGGGUCCCCCGCAGCCCGGGAGGAGAGAGACUAGAGAAACCACAUGUUGAACCUGGAACAGCUACUAUCAGCCUGGGCCACUGAAUAAUUGCAUGAGGGAGAGCCACCCACCGGCCUGAAAUACCUGCUCUAGAAUUUCAUAUGAGAAACUGAGCCAGGAAGAAAUUACAUCUGUUGCCCAAGGUUACGUGGCUGGUAAGUGAAAGAUCCCAGGCAACCUGGCAACAGAGUUUAUGUACUUAACUAGCAGACAACACUACCUCUCAACUUCAAAUGUGUUGUCCUGCUGAGUAGCCAUCCUGGGAGGCUGUACAAUUCCAUCUAUGUUGGCAUUACUGAAGACAUUCCUGUACUUUCUUCAAUGUGAUUGAUUGAUGAUAAAUUAAAAGCCAAUCUAAACAGAGCGAAAUACCCCCAGCAGCUCAAUCUGGCAGUAUAAAAAGGAAGUGAGCUGUCCUUCUCA
Long non-coding RNA from Lagenorhynchus albirostris (white-beaked dolphin), 578 nucleotides. RefSeq lists it as uncharacterized. The transcript has 3 exons. The record is from RefSeq and is a predicted model, not a curated record. NCBI's taxonomy places the organism in Eukaryota, Metazoa, Chordata, Mammalia, Artiodactyla, Delphinidae.